Molecule: ribosomal RNA, 440 nt
Filed under: uncultured bacterium
Lineage: Bacteria
Description: partial 16S ribosomal RNA
Rfam family: Bacterial small subunit ribosomal RNA
Source: RNAcentral
CCUACGGGCGGCUGCAGUGGGGAAUAUUGCUCAAUGGGGGAAACCCUGAAGCAGCAACGCCGCGUGGAGGAUGAAGGUUUUCGGAUUGUACACUCCUUUUGUUAGGGAAGAUAAUGACGGUAUCUAACGAAUAAGCACCGGCUAACUCCGUGCCAGCAGCAGCGGUAAUACGGAGGGUGCAAGCGUUACUCGGAAGCACGGGGCGUAAAGAGCACGUAGGCGGGAUAGCAAGUCAGAUGUGAAAUCCUAUGGCUUAACCAUAGAACUGCAUUUGAAACUGUUAAUAUGGAGUAUGGGAGAGGUAGGGGGAAUUCUUGGUGUAGGGGUAAAAUCCGUAGAGAUCAAGAGGAAUACUCAUUGCGAAGGCGACCUGCUAGAACAUAACUGACGCUGAUGCGCGAAAGCGUGGGGAGCAAACAGGAUUGGAUACCCGGGUAGUC